Molecule: transfer RNA, 70 nt
Filed under: Marmota marmota marmota (Alpine marmot)
Lineage: Eukaryota; Metazoa; Chordata; Mammalia; Rodentia; Sciuridae
Also listed under: 1 other name
Rfam family: tRNA
About the family: Transfer RNA (tRNA) molecules are approximately 80 nucleotides in length. Their secondary structure includes four short double-helical elements and three loops (D, anti-codon, and T loops). Further hydrogen bonds mediate the characteristic L-shaped molecular structure. tRNAs have two regions of fundamental functional importance: the anti-codon, which is responsible for specific mRNA codon recognition, and the 3' end, to which the tRNAs corresponding amino acid is attached (by aminoacyl-tRNA synthetases). tRNAs cope with the degeneracy of the genetic code in two manners: having more than one tRNA (with a specific anti-codon) for a particular amino acid; and 'wobble' base-pairing, i.e. permitting non-standard base-pairing at the 3rd anti-codon position.
Source: Rfam by way of RNAcentral
GGGGAUGUAGCUCAGUGGUAGAGCACUUGCCUAAUGUGUGAAGUCCUGGGUUUAAUCCCCAGGAUCCACC